AUACGUAGGGUGCGAGCGUUAAUCGGAAUUACUGGGCGUAAAGCGUGCGCAGGCGGUUUUGUAAGACAGCUGUGAAAUCCCCGGGCGUUAACCUGGGAACGUGCGGUUGUGACUGCAAGACUAGAGUGCGGCAGAGGGGGGUGGAAUUCCACGUGUAGCAGUGAAAUGCGUAGAGAUGUGGAGGAACACCGAUGGCGAAGGCAGCCCCCUGGGUUGACACUGACGCUCAUGCACGAAAGCGUGGGUAGC
RNAcentral lists this ribosomal RNA (249 nucleotides) under uncultured bacterium. Its description in RNAcentral is "partial 16S ribosomal RNA". It matches the Rfam family "Bacterial small subunit ribosomal RNA", at positions 523 to 769 of the family's 1533-position model. The record is from RNAcentral.